This 483-nucleotide small RNA is filed under the name Paecilomyces variotii. RNAcentral describes it as "Byssochlamys spectabilis sequence contains 18S rRNA gene, ITS1, 5.8S rRNA gene, ITS2 and 28S rRNA gene". The stretch from base 197 to 350 matches the Rfam family "5.8S ribosomal RNA". Lineage: Eukaryota; Fungi; Ascomycota; Eurotiomycetes; Eurotiales; Thermoascaceae. The record is from RNAcentral.
AAGGAUCAUUACCGAGUGAGGGUCCCUCGGGGCCCAACCUCCCAUCCGUGUUGUCCUGACACCUGUUGGUUCGGCGGGCCCGCCGUGGUUCACGCCCCGGCCGCCGGGGGGUUCACGCCCCCGGGCCCGCGCCCGCCCAAGACCCCUGGAACGCUGCCUGGAAGGUUGCCGUCUGAGUAUACAAUCAAUCAAUUAAAACUUUCAACUACGGAUCUCUUGGUUCCGGCAUCGAUGAAGAACGCAGCGAAAUGCGAUAAGUAAUGUGAAUUGCAGAAAUCCGUGAAUCAUCGAAUCUUUGAACGCACAUUGCGCCCCCUGGCAUUCCGGGGGGCAUGCCUGUCCGACCGUCAUUGCUAACCCUCCAGCCCGGCUGGUGUGUUGGGCCGCCGUCCCCCCUCCCCGGGGGACGGGCCGGAAAGGCAGCGGCGGCGUCGCGUCCGGUCCUCGAGCGUAUGGGGCUCUGUCACACGCUUCAGUAGAACC